CCUACGGGAGGCUGCAGUGGGGAAUAUUGCACAAUGGGGGAAACCCUGAUGCAGCGACGCCGCGUGAGUGAAGAAGUAUCUCGGUACGUAAAGCUCUAUCAGCAGGGAGGAAAAUGACGGUACCUGACUAAGAAGCCACGGCUAACUACGUGCCAGCCGCCGCGGUAAUACGUAGGGGGCAAGCGUUAUCCGGAUUUCCUGGGUGUAAAGGGAGCGGAGACGGCAGGACCAGUCUGGAGUGAAAUCCCGGGGCUUAACCCCGGAACGGCUUUGGAAACUGGGCGGCUGGAGUGCAGGAGGGGUAAGCGGAAUUCCUGGUGUAGCGGUGAAAUGCGUAGAUAUUAGGAGGAACCCCGGUGGCGAAGGCGGCUUACCGGACUGUAACUGACGUUGAGGCUCGAAAGCGUGGGGAGCAAACAGGAUUAGAUACCCGAGUAGUC
RNAcentral lists this ribosomal RNA (440 nucleotides) under uncultured bacterium. RNAcentral's name for it is "partial 16S ribosomal RNA". It matches the Rfam family "Bacterial small subunit ribosomal RNA", at positions 338 to 795 of the family's 1533-position model. The record is from RNAcentral.